Molecule: long non-coding RNA, 2002 nt
Organism: Triticum dicoccoides
Lineage: Eukaryota; Viridiplantae; Streptophyta; Magnoliopsida; Poales; Poaceae
Exons: 4
Source: RefSeq, a predicted model, not a curated record
ACCUCUGAAAAUCAGCUAUCUACUAUUGGUGUCAACAUAUUGCUCCAAAUUCCCACAAUCUAAUUAGUGUUCUAUGCAGACCAACACUUUUGGGUUUUGGCUAAUCUCCCAAUAGUUCCUAAAUAGUAAUCUUGUCUGACCAUUGACCUUUUGAGUUCUGCCUUAAAAGAGCAUCUCCAUGCAGAUAUAUAACAUGACGGUCUUGGAUUCUUAUGGGUUUGAUAAUUUAGUUUUUUAUAUGAUCAUAUGAGGUCAUAUUUUAUUCGAGCAAGUAUGGCAUAUAUUUGUAGCACUAGGACGUUGCAGGUACAAAAAGGGAAAAUGUUAGCACUCUUAGAAUUAGCAUGUAAAUUUUGGAUGAGCUCCUAAUUAAUAUCAUAACCAUGAUGUAAAUGCGAGCAUCCAGCCAGGAUUUACCAGCAAGAACAAACAAUAGAGACAUGGUCUUUGUCAGUUAUGCACAUAAAAAAAACUCAUGUAGGAGUCUGACUUGGAUAUUUAGGUGUAGUCCAACACAAAUGAAGAGAGAGUAUAACUUGAUGCUAACUACUCAUGAAUGGAAACAAAAACACCAGAGAGAAUAAUUAACCUUUCCCCCUAGCUCAAGUUUUUAAUUGAGAUGGCAUUUCAUCCUAUUAUUCUGGUUUUAUACGUGUUGCUCAUGGAUUUAAUUGAUUUUGCACAGGCCGAGAUAAUACUGAUGCUCAAUCAUUCUUGUGGUUGGUUUCCUUUAUGCCUGUACAAAUAUACGUGUUCAGAUUCUGGUUCAAUUGCUCAAUACAUUUGGGUCAUUUUUCUCUAUAGUUGUUAAGUGGUUGAUCCACUCGAUGCACAUACGGACAUAUGUGUUCAGUUUAUAUGGUUUAAUUGCUUAAUUAUUUUGGCCAUUUUUCUAUUUUAGUUGAUAAGCAGUUAAUUAAGGUAAUGCGAUGCUCUUCUGGUUUUUGUUAUCUUAUCAAUGGAUUCAUUGGUGCUAAGAACAUGUACUCUCUCUGGAUGUAUGAUGCAACCGUUUCCUACUGUUAAUUAGUGAUACUUACACUCUUGAUUAUGUCAGAUUAUGCCAGAUGUGACCUUCUACUUAACUGUAAUAUUUAGUCGGUAUAAAAUGCUGACGUCCAGAAAUAUCAAGGAUUUUGAGAUGCAUAUUUAGGCUUGAAACUAAUAUUGCCAAAACUUUUGUACAUAUAACGACCCCUUUUACAUUUUUUCUGCUUCUAGGUGAUGAUGUACAGACCUUCUGAACUAGGCUAAACAUACGAGAUAUCCAGGAGAAAAGGCAGCUAAAUGAUGGCUUUAUUUAGUUCUAUUUAUCUACACAAAGAUCAUGUGUGCUCAAGUACAAAAGGAAAUCCUGGUAUGAACUGGAUAUAUUGUUGAAUCUUCUGGUGUUUUUACAAUGAUUAAGAAAGCAUCGGUACGCUUGAAGGUCCAUGCUCUAGCUGCCGCAGCCUACAGGCCAUACGUCAUUGUUUGAUCACUCAGGAAAAGGAUCUCCAACCAGGGUGCAUCAAGGCAUAUGCUAGGGGAAACAAAUCGCGAACAAGCUUGGUGAACCCUCCGUGGAGGAGGCCGCCUGGCUGUGGAGGUCUAAAGACAAUGUUGAUGCCAUGGUGGACAAGAUGCAAGAUCUAGAAGCCGUUUGCACGAUGCGUAUCAUAGCUGCAUCGAGGAGGAACAGACGGGGAAGUUGUUGGGCGGUGGCCCACCAAAUUCAAGUCUGUCACCUAUGACGCCGAGGACGUGCUGAACGAUUUGGACGCUGCAGAUGUAUGUAUUAAAGAAGAGCCAAUCAAAGGUACUCCCUUGGUGCACUCUCCGGGUCAAAGAUCUGGUCUACCAACAAGUGAUUCACGUGGACAUGGACUUUUCACUUUCUGGAGUAACACACUGACAUGGCAUGUAUUGGACACAGUUAUGUUAUCUACGAAGGCAUUCUUAGUUUCUUGACAUGUUAACCUAUUGAAUUUGAAGCGCAAGCGCAACCUACCGUGCCAGGUUA